GAGUUUGAUCCUGGCUCAGGAUGAACGCUGGCGGCGUGCUUAACACAUGCAAGUCGAACGAUGAACCCCGCUUGCGGGGGGAUUAGUGGCGAACGGGUGAGUAACACGUGAGUAACCUGCCCUUAACUCUGGGAUAAGCCUUGGAAACGGGGUCUAAUACUGGAUAUUGACUUUUCCUCGCAUGAGGAUUGGUUGAAAGAUUUAUUGGUUUUGGAUGGACUCGCGGCCUAUCAGCUUGUUGGUGAGGUAAUGGCUCACCAAGGCGACGACGGGUAGCCGGCCUGAGAGGGUGACCGGCCACACUGGGACUGAGACACGGCCCAGACUCCUACGGGAGGCAGCAGUGGGGAAUAUUGCACAAUGGGCGAAAGCCUGAUGCAGCGACGCCGCGUGAGGGAUGACGGCCUUCGGGUUGUAAACCUCUUUCAGUAGGGAACAAGGCCAGUGUUUAGCUGGUUGAGGGUACUUGCAGAAGAAGCGCCGGCUAACUACGUGCCAGCAGCCGCGGUAAUACGUAGGGCGCAAGCGUUGUCCGGAAUUAUUGGGCGUAAAGAGCUCGUAGGCGGUUUGUCGCGUCUGCCGUGAAAGUCCGGGGCUCAACCCCGGAUCUGCGGUGGGUACGGGCAGACUAGAGUGAUGUAGGGGAGACUGGAAUUCCUGGUGUAGCGGUGAAAUGCGCAGAUAUCAGGAGGAACACCGAUGGCGAAGGCAGGUCUCUGGGCAUUAACUGACGCUGAGGAGCGAAAGCAUGGGGAGCGAACAGGAUUAGAUACCCUGGUAGUCCAUGCCGUAAACGUUGGGCACUAGGUGUGGGGGGACAUUCCACGUUUUCCGCGCCGUCGCUAACGCAUUAAGUGCCCCGCCUGGGGGAGUACGGCCGCAAGGCUAAAACUCAAAGGAAUUUGACAGGGGCCCGCACAAGCGGCGGAGCAUGCGGAUUAAUUUCGAUGCAACGCGAGACCCUUACCCAGGCUUGACAUGAACUGCAAACACCUGGUAAACAGUGCC
Molecule: ribosomal RNA, 1008 nt
Filed under: uncultured Actinomycetes bacterium
Lineage: Bacteria; Bacillati; Actinomycetota; Actinomycetes
Description: bacterial SSU rRNA
Rfam family: Bacterial small subunit ribosomal RNA
Source: RNAcentral